AUUGAACGCUGGCGGCAGGCCUAACACAUGCAAGUCGAGCGAGCGGCGGACGGGUGAGUAAUGUCUGGGAACCUGCCUGAUGGAGGGGGAUAACUACUGGAAACGGUAGCUAAUACCGCAUACCAUCAGAUGUGCCCAGAUGGGAUUAGCUAGUGGGUGGGGAAAUGGCUAACCUAGGGGACGACCCCUAGCGGGUCUGAGAGGAUGACCAGCCACACUGGAAAGAGGACACGUUCAAGCCUCCUACGGGAGGCAGCGUUGGGGAAUAUGGCACAUGGGGCGCAGGCCUGAUGCAGCCAUGCCGGGUGUGUGAAGAAGGCCUUCGGGUUGUAAAGCACUUUCAGCGGGGAGGCGUUACCCGCAGAAGAAGCACCGGCUAACUCCGUGCCAGCAGCCGCGGUAAUA
This 405-nucleotide ribosomal RNA is filed under the name uncultured bacterium. RNAcentral describes it as "partial 16S ribosomal RNA". It matches the Rfam family "Bacterial small subunit ribosomal RNA", at positions 29 to 525 of the family's 1533-position model. The record is from RNAcentral.